AACGAACGCUGGCGGCAGGCCUAACACAUGCAAGUCGAACGCCCUAGCAAUAGGGAGUGGCGCACGGGUGAGUAACGCGUGGGAACGUGCCUUUCAGUCUGGAAUAACUGCGGGAAACUGCAGCUAAUACCGGAUAUUCUCUACGGAGGAAAGAUUUAUCGCUGAAAGAUCGGCCCGCGUUAGAUUAGGUAGUUGGUGGGGUAAUGGCCUACCAAGCCUACGAUCUAUAGCUGGUCUGAGAGGAUGAUCAGCCACACUGGAACCGAGACACGGUCCAGACUCCUACGGGAGGCAGCAGUGGGGAAUAUUGGACAAUGGGCGCAAGCCUGAUCCAGCCAUGCCGCGUGAGUGACGAAGGCCUUAGGGUUGUAAAGCUCUUUUGUCGGGGAAGAUAAUGACGGUACCUGAAGAAUAAGACACGGCUAACUUCGUGCCAGCCGCCGCCGUAA
This 449-nucleotide ribosomal RNA is filed under the name uncultured bacterium. RNAcentral describes it as "partial 16S ribosomal RNA". It matches the Rfam family "Bacterial small subunit ribosomal RNA", at positions 29 to 523 of the family's 1533-position model. The record is from RNAcentral.